RNAcentral lists this ribosomal RNA (226 nucleotides) under uncultured Rhodocyclaceae bacterium. RNAcentral describes it as "partial 16S ribosomal RNA". It matches the Rfam family "Bacterial small subunit ribosomal RNA", at positions 1157 to 1382 of the family's 1533-position model. The record is from RNAcentral. Lineage: Bacteria; Pseudomonadati; Pseudomonadota; Betaproteobacteria; Rhodocyclales; Rhodocyclaceae.
ACGAAACCGGAGGAAGGUGGGGAUGACGUCAAGUCCUCAUGGCCCUUAUGGGUAGGGCUUCACACGUCAUACAAUGGUCGGUACAGAGGGUUGCCAACCCGCGAGGGGGAGCUAAUCCCACAAAGCCGAUCGUAGUCCGGAUCGCAGUCUGCAACUCGACUGCGUGAAGUCGGAAUCGCUAGUAAUCGUGGAUCAGCAUGUCACGGUGAAUACGUUCCCGGGUCUU